AGUGGGAUAGCUGGGUCAAAUGGUGGUUCCAUCGCAAGUUUUCCAAGGAAUCUCCAUAAUAUUUUUCAUAUUGGCUUCACCAAUUUGCAGUCCCACCAGCAAU
Molecule: microRNA precursor, 103 nt
Filed under: Marmota monax (woodchuck)
Lineage: Eukaryota; Metazoa; Chordata; Mammalia; Rodentia; Sciuridae
Source: RNAcentral